Molecule: ribosomal RNA, 253 nt
Filed under: uncultured bacterium
Lineage: Bacteria
Description: partial 16S ribosomal RNA
Rfam family: Bacterial small subunit ribosomal RNA
Source: RNAcentral
UACGUAGGUGGCGAGCGUUGUCCGGAUUUAUUGGGUUUAAAGGGUGCGUAGGUGGUCUAUUAAGUCAGUGCUGAAAUAUCCCGGCUUAACCGGGAGGGUGGCAUUGAUACUGAUGGACUUGAGUAAAGUUGAGGUGGGCGGAAUUGACGGUGUAGCGGUGAAAUGCUUAGAUAUCGUCAAGAACACCUAUUGCGAAGGCAGCUCACUAAGCUUUAACUGACACUGAGGCACGAAAGUGUGGGGAUCAAACAGG